CUCUCUAUAUAUACACAAUUGAAGUUUAGGUGUCAGAUAAAUAGAGAAAAGAAAGGUUUCUUAUUAGAAUAUAAUAGCUAUUGUUCUGACGUUCUUUCCUAGCUACAGAAACAACAAGCCUCUCACUUUUCUUUCUGAUUCUCCGUCUCAAAACCAAGAAACCAUUAAUUCAUCGAUGCUGGCAAAACCACCAAGAACAUCAAUGACAAGUCAAGAUAACACUCAAAUGGAUCUUGAAAUCAAAACUUUACUCGUGCAACUGAACGGCAGGGUCACAAAUUUAGAAAAAAAGAUCACUUCUGCCGAGUCCUUCAAGGCAGAAAUUGAAGCUUUAGUGAAUGAAGCGAGGAAAUCUCAUCAUUCUAGCACUGCAAGAAGAAACCAUCUUGAUAAGGCAAGGCAAUUGCUGAUGCAAAAGAUUGAUGAAUUCAAGAAAGAAGAAGAUACCGAGGAUAGAGGACUCACAAAGACUGAUGCAAUGGGGGCUCCUUCCGAUCUUACAGGAAACUGUGUGUCAAUGGUUCAGAAAGAUCACAAACAAAUUCAGAUUCUAGCUACAGAAGUGGAUCGGUACAUUGCAGAGAUUGAUCGGAAGGUGAAUGUAUUAGAGGAUCCAUCCUACCUGACGGAAGAAAUCAGAGCACUGAAUGUAGAUCGAGUAAAAGCCGAGUCUUUAAAACUUUUUCUUCAAUCUAGUGAUAGAAAGAAGGAUCUUGAAGUAAGACGAAGGAUUGCUUACGUGAAUCAAUGGCUGAAUCAUAAGACGGAGAGCGAUAAAAUUGGAGACUCAAGGUCAGAGGGGUAUAUGUGAAAACUCUUACUGUGAAUUUUCUUGAGAUAUUUCUUUAUCAAUUGCUAUGGUUUUUCCUUUUUUAUGUUUACAGCAUCAAAUACUUUGUGCUUGUUGUCGAUGAUAACUGUGAAGAUCGAGAAACCCUUCGCGAACUCCUCAUGUCUAUUAAGUCAGAAAAGACGCCUACAAUGGAUGUUCAAGUGGCAAAAAAUGGAAAAGAAGCUGUUUAUCUUCAUCUUGCUGGGGCUUCCUUUGAUAUGAUUGUUAUGGACGAUUUAAUGCCCGUCAUGAAUGGAAUUGAGGCAACGAAGCAGCUAUUCGGCAUGGGUGUUAUCAGCUUCAUUGUUGGUGUCGGUGAUGACACCGUGAAACAAGCAUUUAUUGAUGCGGGCAUAGACCAAUACAUUGAAAAGCCUCUGACUCCUGCAAAGGUCGCUGAUCUCUUCCCUGAUCUCAGCGACUCAUACUUCGACCUUUAAGUGUUUCUCAGUCUAAUCCGUCUGCUUUUACUUGUCUUGGAAGGUUCUUAGUUGUAGAGAUGAACUCUAUGGAUAAAGCUCCUGGCUAGCUAGUUAUGCUAUGAGAUAAAUGAAUAGUUGCACUUCAAGCAGAGCUGGGAGGUGUUGUAUUGGCUUAGUUGUAAAAGAAAAGGAUGAAAGUUGUAGAAAUUUUUGGUAUUAGUAUUUCAUUGUUUUUGUGCUGAUGUUGAUCA
Molecule: RNA transcript, 1505 nt
Organism: Populus nigra (black poplar)
Lineage: Eukaryota; Viridiplantae; Streptophyta; Magnoliopsida; Malpighiales; Salicaceae
Gene name: two-component response regulator ARR22-like
Exons: 2
Source: RefSeq, a predicted model, not a curated record